Molecule: long non-coding RNA, 240 nt
Organism: Coregonus clupeaformis (lake whitefish)
Lineage: Eukaryota; Metazoa; Chordata; Actinopteri; Salmoniformes; Salmonidae
Exons: 3
Source: RefSeq, a predicted model, not a curated record
GCUGUUCAGUCUGUGUCCUGUGUCUGCUCUCCUCUCCUCUUCCUGUGUCUACUCCUUCUGCAGAACAACAGCUCCAACUGAGACUCAGGUUCCUCUGAACAGGACUACGACCAGGGGAAGUGACAGCAGUGUGCAGACUACAGUCAAGUACCUAUACAUCCAUCAAUACCCGCAGAUUGUGAGACCUGUACCAUCCAUCAAUACCAGCAGAGUGUGAGACCUAUACCAUCCAUCAAUACC